RNAcentral lists this ribosomal RNA (716 nucleotides) under uncultured bacterium. Its description in RNAcentral is "bacterial SSU rRNA". It matches the Rfam family "Bacterial small subunit ribosomal RNA", at positions 66 to 774 of the family's 1533-position model. The record is from RNAcentral.
ACGGCAGCACGGGUGCUUGCACCUGGUGGCGAGUGGCGAACGGGUGAGUAAUGUAUCGGAACGUAUCCGGAAGUGGGGGAUAGCCCGGCGAAAGCCGGAUUAAUACCGCAUAUGCCCUGAGGGGGAAAGUGGGGGACCGCAAGGCCUCAUGCUUUCGGAGUGGCCGAUAUCGGAUUAGCUAGUAGGUUAGGUAAAGGCUGACCUAGGCGACGAUCCGUAGCGGGUCUGAGAGGAUGAUCCGCCACACUGGGACUGAGACACGGCCCAGACUCCUACGGGAGGCAGCAGUGGGGAAUUUUGGACAAUGGGGGCAACCCUGAUCCAGCCGUGCCGCGUGAGUGAAGAAGGCCUUCGGGUUGUAAAGCUCUUUCGGACGGAAAGAAAUUGCCAUCUCUAACAUAGGUGGUGGAUGACGGUACCGUAAGAAGAAGCACCGGCUAACUACGUGCCAGCAGCCGCGGUAAUACGUAGGGUGCGAGCGUUAAUCGGAAUUACUGGGCGUAAAGCGUGCGCAGGCGGUUUUGUAAGACAGGCGUGAAAUCCCCGGGCUUAACCUGGGAACUGCGCUUGUGACUGCAAGGCUAGAGUGCGGCAGAGGGGGGGUAGAAUUCCACGUGUAGCAGUGAAAUGCGUAGAGAUGUGGAGGAAUACCGAUGGCGAACGCAGCCCCCUGGGUCGACACUGACGCUCAUGCACGAAAGCGUGGGGAGCAAACA